GUGUCAGCAGCCGCGGUAAUACGGAGGGGGCUAGCGUUGUUCGGAAUUACUGGGCGUAAAGCGCACGUAGGCGGUUACUCAAGUCAGAGGUGAAAGCCCGGAGCUCAACUUCGGAAUUGCCUUUGAAACUAGGUGACUUGAACACGGGAGAGGUGAGUGGAAUUCCGAGUGUAGAGGUGAAAUUCGUAGAUAUUCGGAAGAACACCAGUGGCGAAGGCGGCUCACUGGACCGUUGUUGACGCUGAGGUGCGAAAGCGUGGGGAGCAAACAGGAUUAGAAACCCCCGUAGUCC
Molecule: ribosomal RNA, 292 nt
Filed under: uncultured bacterium
Lineage: Bacteria
Description: partial 16S ribosomal RNA
Rfam family: Bacterial small subunit ribosomal RNA
Source: RNAcentral